Long non-coding RNA from Amphiprion ocellaris (clown anemonefish), 2576 nucleotides. RefSeq lists it as uncharacterized. The transcript is spliced from 4 exons. Lineage: Eukaryota; Metazoa; Chordata; Actinopteri; Pomacentridae. The record is from RefSeq and is a predicted model, not a curated record.
ACAGCACGCCAGCGUAUCUAGUCUGCUACAUAUAUAUACGGUGGGAACGUCUGGUAGCGUUUCUGGCUGCUGUUGACCUUGUUUUUGGAGUAAAACACGGUGGAAGCUGAAUUAGUGAGGAUGACUCCUGCUCCUGUCAUCUCUAAGCUCCUCACACAUCUUUACCUGCACAUGAGGAAAAUCACUCCUGUAGAAUGCAGUGGUUCAUCAGAACCUCUGGGGAUGUCCUGUGGAUUCUGUGGAUCCUGUGGGUUGCAGGGUGGGUCCUACCUAGACCAGGCUGAUCCUGGACCAUCCCACAGAUGCUCCAUCAGAUGUGGAUGUGGGGAGUGUGGAACCCAGAUGUUCAGAGGGAGAUGAUGCCACAUCUGGUCCAGCUGAUGGAAGGUCUUGAAGUUCUCUGACUGGCCUCGACUGAAGAUGGUCGUCUCUCUGGAUUUAAGGUUCAGAUGCUCAGUAACAAACUCCACCAAUGAGCCAACAGGGAAGCUUUAGGUUUAUUAAAUGUUGCUAUGAAGGUUUCGCUGUUUUUCUUUGUGAAUGCAAUGUGCUCCAACUGAAACUUGAAUUAGAACUUAGAAGUAAAUCCUUCCAUCUGAAAGGAUUUAGUUGCAUUAAUAACCUCAUAACAUUCUAAUUUUUAUUCCAGUCUUGGUUGGAAAUAGAAUCUCUGUAUUGAUUCAGGUAAAAAGUGAACUUCACAGCAUGUUGGAGCAAAACAACCAGAUGAAAACUGUGAUGGUGUUGGAUUGUCAGACUGUAAUGUUGCAGCUCAAAGCAGCUUUUUUAUCUCAGUUCAUUCUGACAUUCAGCUAUGAAUCAACACAGCAGAUGGUGAUCCAUGCUGUGGAAAUCUCACAUCUCCUCAUUUAAUGGAGCUGCUUUGCACUUUUUACACUGUUUAUUCACCAACACUUUAUUUAAUAAAAGUCCCAUCUAGUUUUUAUGAGGAAUGUGAUGUUUUAAUUUCUCUGUGAAUAACUGCAGUCUAAUGCAACAGCUGGAGUUGUAACAUCUGUCCUGAUAUUGAUCAUGAAGUAUUGAUCAGAAUACUUAUGGUUAGCAGUCAUCCCUGAAGUUUUACAUUAAAAUCUUUACUUGUGAACUUUGGGAAGAAGCAGAAACUUUAGCGUUGCCAUGGAUACGUGAGUGUUAAUUUCUGUCCAUGUUUCAUUUUGGGAAAUUCAGUCCAGCAGAUGAGUUUGUUUUUACUGCCAGCUACCAUUCAGUCUGAGAUAUUAAGAAUAAAUAAAUGUGCAUCAUGUGGAAAUGAACAGAUUUUAUUUUUAUUUAUUCCUACAGCUGCUGCAUGUAAAGUUCCAAAAUGUGGAGGAAUUUAGUCUCACAAUCACAGACGAUAAGUAUUAUCUGAAAGUCGGGUUAUUGUUGUUUAUCAGCACAAUACAAAAAGAUUCAUGUUAGAAAUAUUCCAGUUAAGACUCUAGAAUGUCAUGAUUUAUGUAAAUUUACCUCAAUAAUAUGAAUGUUCAGGUUAAGAUUGUGCAGUGGUAUUUAUUAUGCAAGUUUAGCUUAUUAAAGUUUAUGACUGCACUAAAAUAUUAUUUAAAUUGACAUCAUUAUUAUAAUAUUUAGGGUCAGACCCUACAGUAUUGAGAUUAAGAAAUAAAAUAUUCUAUAAAAUGUAAAUACACUGAACUAAUCUGGAUAUAUUUACGUGAGACUCUGCAAUAUUAUUUGACACAAAUCUAUCUAAAGCAAAAUUUUAAUCAUUUUUACUCCAAACAUUUAAUGGACUGAUUUAAAUAUUAAAAUAACUCCUUUCUAAUCCUCUGCUGUACGUUCAAACCUGAGGCCUGAAAUAGAAACACACAAGUAUGUGAUUGAAGGAACUUCUGCAGAGUCCUGGUUCCAGAACAUGAUGAUAGAAUUAUAGACAAACUUUAACAAAAGCUGCCUGAGAGUUUACAGGUUUUUAUGUUAGAUUUCUUCAGUAAUUUAAUGAGAGUUAUCAGAAAAAAUCAAGUGUUCAUUUGAUGAACUUCAUUUCCUAAAACAUCCAGAAUUGGAGCUCAUAUCUUUGACAGCUGUAAAGUUUCUGCUCCUUCAAAGUUCACAACACAAUGAAUGAAUUCCUAAAACACUCUCAAUGCUGGAGAGCGUUUGUGAUGCUGAAGCAGUGACCAGUUUUUCUGUUUCUUCUCUUGAGAUGCACAAUGAGGGACGUCUGCAGCGACUGAGAAAGAGUCUCACCACAUCCUGACAUGAGGAAAAAGACUUUAUUGAAGACUACAAUGAGAAAAACUAUCAGACAGCAGACGGCUGCAUUCAAGGUGAGCUCUGAACAUUUGAUCUGGAACAGGAAUUCAAUCACAGCAGCAUGAGCUUCAUUUCAGUCUGUAGCUGCUGAAUUCAUGGAUGAAUCAUCUGGCACUAGAGAGGAAGACCAUCAAACAUCCGCGUCAGCUGAUGGAGGUCCAAGAGUCUCACCCAACAAACAACCUACAGAGUGAAGACCUCCAAUCUGAUUGGACGGCCUCCUAUUCAGCCACAUGUGUGAACAAAUGCCUCUAAGCUGAUUUGUUUUCUAAAAUAAAUCUAGUUUGAGUCCUAAUCUA